Molecule: long non-coding RNA, 527 nt
Filed under: Panthera leo (lion)
Lineage: Eukaryota; Metazoa; Chordata; Mammalia; Carnivora; Felidae
Description: lncRNA (ENSPLOG00000006372.1)
Source: RNAcentral
UCUGGCCCAUGACUCCCAUACAAAAUAUAUCUUCCCAGAGGUCAAUUUCUCUUGCACUGACAGGGAAAUGGCAGAAAUCCUAACCAGCCAAAUGAUACAAAUUUAAAUUUCCUGUGGAAGAAAGUUUUUAUGUGCCUGCUGUUUUUCUUUCUUGCAAGCCAGAAGAAAGUAAUAAAAAAUAAAAGUUAAGAAAAGACGUCCAUGCAGAUUAAGUGCAUUUCCAGUCUCCCUUUGAAAUCACAUAAAGCGGCUCUGUGUCUCCUUGCUCUGUGGUGUAAGCGGGGAGUGCCUGAGGAGAGCCAGGGACUAUGUCUGCUUUCAGAAAGGCCCUGGGAGUCCCUGUUUGAGGCUUCUCAUCUUGUCAGUGCUGAAGGGCUGGAGGAGAAUUCGGGGAUUUCUCACAAUCGUAGGCACAUUGAUGCCAGGAAAGACCUUGGUAUGUUUGGCAUGGAACAGUGACAUUUAGCUAUUAGGCUGGAGUGAAACAUGAAUGGAGCUGACAGGGUGAGUGGUCUCACUUCUAAUGC